This 264-nucleotide ribosomal RNA is filed under the name Vibrio parahaemolyticus. RNAcentral describes it as "partial 23S ribosomal RNA". It matches the Rfam family "Bacterial large subunit ribosomal RNA", at positions 1446 to 1710 of the family's 2925-position model. The record is from RNAcentral. Lineage: Bacteria; Pseudomonadati; Pseudomonadota; Gammaproteobacteria; Vibrionales; Vibrionaceae.
UCUUACAAUUGCGAUGGGGGGACGGAGAAGGCUAGGUGGGCCUGGCGACGGUUGUCCAGGUUCAAGUGCGUAGGCUUAAGAGUUAGGUAAAUCCGGCUCUUUUUAAGGCUGAGACACGACGUCGAGCUACUACGGUAGUGAAGUCAUUGAUGCCAUGCUUCCAGGAAAAGCCUCUAAGCUUCAGAUUGUAAGGAAUCGUACCCCAAACCGACACAGGUGGUCGGGUAGAGAAUACCAAGGCGCUUGAGAGAACUCGGGUGAAGG